RNAcentral lists this long non-coding RNA (924 nucleotides) under Sus scrofa (pig). RNAcentral's name for it is "lncRNA (ENSSSCG00070001618.1)". Lineage: Eukaryota; Metazoa; Chordata; Mammalia; Artiodactyla; Suidae. The record is from RNAcentral.
ACACAACAAAGCAGCCAGUGGUUCACUCACACACGCCACCGCGCAAGUGUGUCCGUGCAGCUGGAAUUUCAACCUGGAGCUGAGACCUCCAGAUGGACUCCUAGAAGGGUGACGUGUAAAGCUGCAUCCCUCAGCAGCCCACGAUCUUGGCAGGUUUGCCACUGUGACCAAUGUUUUAUUGAAGCUUCUGAGGCCGUAGAGCACAGGGAAGUUCCGAGCACACAGAGGACAAGCCAGGGCGGUGCUGUGUGGCCCAAAACAACCUUAAGUAGGAGACAUGAGUGGGGGACGGUUUCUGACACCUUGAUUCCUCAUGUCUGUGUUUCUGCAGUGUGGAGCAUUGUGAGUCUGUGUGGCAGCAACCACGAAGAAAGUGAUACAGACUUGGUGGCGGAGAGCACCGACUGCCGCCAGGAUGAGGAGGCUGCAGGUAGGGAAGAGCACACAGCUGGGAUCCAGGGGGAGAGGGUUCCUGGGAGCAGCUGGGUUCCACCUGCUGCCGGGAGAGGGAGGAAGGGGGGGAUAGGACUUGGCAGGUGGUGGGUGGGUGGCCUAAUGAGUGGAACCCUGAUGUGGUGUUUUCCCCUCCGAAAUUGAUAACACGAAGAAGACUUGUGUCCCUGGUCUUUGUCGUGCUGUGUUUGGAUUCCUGUCUCCUUCCUUUGAGAGGGAGAAUCGAUUUUCCCUCCCAAAGCUGCUCCUUCCAGCUCUUGUCUCUGGCCAUUGUGCCAGCUUGCUUUGUGGGUCGCACCCUGAGGGUCCUGUGCCCAAGAGCUGUUGACUUAGUUUCCUUUGUUGCCCUUGAGGGACCUGAUGUGGUGGGACGCAACCCUCUCCUAGGGCCUUGACCCUGGAGACCAAGUUCGUCUGGUGAGUGUGAGGUGGUGGGUGAGAAGGCGCUGUCUCCCUCUGGAUGUUCAGGAU